GGAGGGUGCGAGCGUUAAUCGGAAUUACUGGGCGUAAAGCGCGCGUAGGCGGCGUGAUCAGUCGGAUGUGAAAGCCCUGGGCUUAACCUGGGAAUUGCACUCGAUACUGUCAGGCUAGAGUAUGGGAGAGGGAAGUGGAAUUUCCGGUGUAGCGGUGAAAUGCGUAGAUAUCGGAAGGAACACCAGUGGCGAAGGCGACUUUCUGGCCCAAUACUGACGCUCAGGUGCGAAAGCGUGGGGUAGCGAACAGGAUUAGAUACCCUGGUAGUCCACGCCGUAAACGAUGAGAACUAGAUGUCGGGAGGAUUUACCCUCUCGGUGUCGCAGCUAACGCGUUAAGUUCUCCGCCUGGGAGUACGCCGGCAACGGUA
Molecule: ribosomal RNA, 371 nt
Filed under: uncultured organism
Description: partial 16S ribosomal RNA
Rfam family: Bacterial small subunit ribosomal RNA
Source: RNAcentral